Molecule: ribosomal RNA, 450 nt
Filed under: uncultured bacterium
Lineage: Bacteria
Description: partial 16S ribosomal RNA
Rfam family: Bacterial small subunit ribosomal RNA
Source: RNAcentral
GUGGGGAAUCUUCCGCAAUGGACGAAAGUCUGACGGAGCAACGCCGCGUGAGUGAUGAAGGUCUUCGGAUUGUAAAGCUCUGUUAAUCGGGACGAAAGAGCCUAGUGUGAAUAAUGCUAGGAAGUGACGGUACCGGAAUAGAAAGCCACGGCUAACUACGUGCCAGCAGCCGCGGUAAUACGUAGGUGGCAAGCGUUGUCCGGAAUUAUUGGGCGUAAAGCGCGCGCAGGCGGAUCUGCCAGUCUGUCUUAAAAGUUCGGGGCUUAACCCCGUGAUGGGAUGGAAACUACAGAUCUAGAGUAUCGGAGAGGAAAGUGGAAUUCCUAGUGUAGCGGUGAAAUGCGUAGAUAUUAGGAAGAACACCAGUGGCGAAGGCGACUCACUGGCCCAAUACUGACGCUGAGGCGCGAAAGCGUGGGGAGCAAACAGGAUUAGAUACCCCUGUAGUCC